This 500-nucleotide ribosomal RNA is filed under the name uncultured bacterium. Its description in RNAcentral is "bacterial SSU rRNA". It matches the Rfam family "Bacterial small subunit ribosomal RNA", at positions 28 to 523 of the family's 1533-position model. The record is from RNAcentral.
GAUGAACGCUAGCGGCAGGCCUAAUACAUGCAAGUCGAGGGGCAGCGCGGUAGCAAUACUGGCGGCGACCGGCGCACGGGUGCGUAACACGUAUGCAACCUACCUUCAACUGGAGGAUAGCCCGGGGAAACUCGGAUUAAUACUCCAUAACACAGGGAUCCCGCAUGGGAAUAUUGUUAAAGCUACGGCGGUUGAAGAUGGGCAUGCGUUCGAUUAGCUAGUUGGUGUAGGUAACGGCUCACCAAGGCUACGAUCGAUAGGGGGUCUGAGAGGAUGAUCCCCCACACUGGUACUGAGAUACGGACCAGACUCCUACGGGAGGCAGCAGUAGGGAAUAUUGGUCAAAUGGGCGCAAGCCUGAACCAGCCAUGCCGCGUGCAGGAAGAAGGCCCCUCUGGGUUGUAAACUGCUUUUGAUAGGGAACAAAUGCCACUUGCGAGUGGAGCUGGGUGUACCUAUAGAAUAAGCACCGGCUAACUCCGUGCCAGCAGCCGCGGUAA